RNAcentral lists this ribosomal RNA (500 nucleotides) under uncultured bacterium. Its description in RNAcentral is "partial 16S ribosomal RNA". It matches the Rfam family "Bacterial small subunit ribosomal RNA", at positions 28 to 523 of the family's 1533-position model. The record is from RNAcentral.
GAUGUACGCUAGCGGCAGGCUUAAUACAUGCAAGUCGAGGGACAGCACAGGUAGCAAUACUGGGUGGUAACCGGCAAACGGGUGCGGAACACGUACACAACCUUCCUUUAAGUGGGGGAUAGCCCAGAGAAAUUUGGAUUAAUACCCCGUAAUAUAGUUGAAUGGCAUCAUUUGAUUAUUAUAGCUACGGCGCUUAAUGAUGGGUGUGCGGCUGAUUAGAUAGUUGGCGGGGUAACGGCCCACCAAGUCUACGAUCAGUAGCUGAUGUGAGAGCAUGAUCAGCCACACGGGAACUGAGACACGGGCCCGACUCCUACGGGAGGCAGCAGUAAGGAAUAUUGGUCAAUGGACGCAAGUCUGAACCAGCCAUGCCGCGUGAAGGAUUAAGGUCCUCUGGAUUGUAAACUUCUUUUAUUUGGGACGAAAAAGGGCCUUUCUAGGUCAACUGACGGUACCAGAUGAAUAAGCACCGGCUAACUCCGUGCCAGCAGCCGCAGUAA